This 253-nucleotide ribosomal RNA is filed under the name uncultured bacterium. Its description in RNAcentral is "partial 16S ribosomal RNA". It matches the Rfam family "Bacterial small subunit ribosomal RNA", at positions 524 to 776 of the family's 1533-position model. The record is from RNAcentral.
UACGAAGGGGGCUAGCGUUGCUCGGAAUCACUGGGCGUAAAGCGCACGUAGGCGGAUCUUUAAGUCAGGGGUGAAAUCCCGAGGCUCAACCUCGGAACUGACUUUGAUACUGGGGAUCUCGAGUCCGGAAGAGGUUGGUGGAACUCCGAGUGUAGAGGUGAAAUUCGUAGAUAUUCGGAAGAACACCAGUGGCGAAGGCGGCUAACUGGUCCGGUACUGACGCUGAGGUGCGAAAGCGUGGGGAGCAAACAGG